Long non-coding RNA from Limulus polyphemus (Atlantic horseshoe crab), 366 nucleotides. RefSeq lists it as uncharacterized. The record is from RefSeq and is a predicted model, not a curated record. NCBI's taxonomy places the organism in Eukaryota, Metazoa, Arthropoda, Merostomata, Xiphosura, Limulidae. The transcript has 3 exons.
UCGGCAACAGCUUGUUUGACAGGGUAGUUUCUUCUUCAGCACCUUCUCGUACACCGUUUAUACACACUGUUUCAGCUUCCAUUAACUUUGACUGCUGGUGACGCCAGAACUCCACAUCCCACAUAUUUUAUUAUGUAUUAGACCCAGAAGUUUCUACUUGUUCGUCUUGUUAUGGUAAAUGUCUUACGAGCAUGAGGUAAAUUUAUCCGCAAAAAAAAAGAAGAACAUUUACACAGGGUGGUUUCAAGUUGGAAUUACUGGAUCAAGACGAGCGCCUUUUGGAGGAUUUAACACCCACGACUGCUGAAACCAAUUAUAUAGGUUCCGAAGACUCAACGUGUCUGUAGCUCACAUAAAGCGUGUUAC